AUGGAGGACGAUCUGCAGGAGUUUUUAAGGUCACGAGAUGUUCCAGAAGAGGACAUCAUCUUCAUGAAAAGGGACAAGAGAAAAGUAAGGACAGAAGCCCAGAGUACAAGAGGAAUGGAGGAUGUUCCACAGAGUGGUUAUACCUUAGAGACACCCAGCACAUCACACGACUCUCUUUCAACACCCAGAGAUAUCCAAAGAACACACACCAUCCAAAGACUUGCAAGCAGCUCAAGUGAUGAGGAGACUGAUGAAUUGGGGAGAUGGUGUGCACAGCUAUCGAAAAGACCACAGCAUACACAUGAGCUCUUUGAUUUUCAGAUAAGCUAUGAAAUCAUUGACUUGACCAAUCAGAUUCCUCCGCUACAAAACAGCAUAGUUCAGAAUCUUGGAGAUGAUGAUGAUAAAGAAGACACAGUUGAAUGGAAUGAAGGCGAAGAACUUGAACAAACAGAUGAGGACCAAGAUGUUAAAAUAACAUGGAAUGAGAACAUCAUACAGGUAAUGUGGUCCUGAUGGACCGAAUGCCACAGUAUAGAUUUGAAAAAUAAAUAUUCAAACUACAAGCA
Cyprinus carpio (common carp) is the source of this 569-nucleotide long non-coding RNA. NCBI's taxonomy places the organism in Eukaryota, Metazoa, Chordata, Actinopteri, Cypriniformes, Cyprinidae. The record is from Ensembl.